CAGGGCCACAUCCACACGAUUGCCGUCCUCUGGUUGGGUCUGUUAGGCAGGAUAGUGGAGCAGCGGCCGUCCGCCCCACUCACCGCCAGAGUAGGCCCAAAUUAGGGCAUCAAGGGUCUCUCCUCCUGGGGACUGUAGCUUGGGGAGCCAGCCUCACCCUGGAUCCAGUGUCCCCUGUACACUGAGGACAGGCGCUGGCGGUCCUUGGUAUGGUUAAAAAUGUUCUUUUUGUGGCUAUUUAGUUAUUAAUUUGUAGGAGCUGAGCUGCCA
Non-coding RNA from Pelobates cultripes (western spadefoot toad), 270 nucleotides. Lineage: Eukaryota; Metazoa; Chordata; Amphibia; Anura; Pelobatidae. The record is from the annotation of a GenBank genome assembly.